GACGAACGCUGGCGGCGUGCCUAAUACAUGCAAGUAGAACGCACAGUUUAUACCGUAGCUUGCUACACCAUAAACUGUGAGUUGCGAACGGGUGAGUAACGCGUAGGUAACCUGCCUGGUAGCGGGGGAUAACUAUUGGAAACGAUAGCUAAUACCGCAUAAUAUUAAUUAUUGCAUGAUAAUUGAUUGAAAGAUGCAAUUGCGUCACUACCAGAUGGACCUGCGUUGUAUUAGCUAGUAGGUGAGGUAACGGCUCACCUAGGCGACGAUACAUAGCCGACCUGAGAGGGUGAUCGGCCACACUGGGACUGAGACACGGCCCAGACUCCUACGGGAGGCAGCAGUAGGGAAUCUUCGGCAAUGGACGAAAGUCUGACCGAGCAACGCCGCGUGAGUGAAGAAGGUUUUCGGAUCGUAAAGCUCUGUUGUAAGAGAAGAACGGGUGUGAGAGUGGAAAGUUCACACUGUGACGGUAUCUUACCAGAAAGGGACGGCUAACUACGUG
Molecule: ribosomal RNA, 505 nt
Filed under: uncultured bacterium
Lineage: Bacteria
Description: partial 16S ribosomal RNA
Rfam family: Bacterial small subunit ribosomal RNA
Source: RNAcentral